CUACGGGCGGCUGCAGUGAGGAAUAUUGCACAAUGGGGGGAACCCUGAUGCAGCAACGCCGCGUGGAGGAUGACGCAUUUCGGUGUGUAAACUCCUUUUAUAUGUCAAGAAAAUGACGGUAGCAUAUGAAUAAGCACCGGCUGAACUCCGUGCCAGCAGCCGCGGUAAUACGGAGGGUGCAAGCGUUACUCGGAAUCACUGGGCGUAAAGGACGCGUAGGCGGGUUGGAAAGUCAGGUGUGAAAUCCUACAGCUUAACUGUAGAACUGCACUUGAAACUUCUAAUCUAGAGUAUGGGAGGGGGAGAUAGAAUUAGUGGUGUAGGGGUAAUAUCCGUAGAUAUCACUAGGAAUACCUAAAGCGAAGGCGAUCUCCUGGAACAUUACUGACGCUAAGGCGUGAAAGCGUGGGGAGCAAACAGGAUUAGAUACCCUCGUAGUC
Molecule: ribosomal RNA, 440 nt
Filed under: uncultured bacterium
Lineage: Bacteria
Description: partial 16S ribosomal RNA
Rfam family: Bacterial small subunit ribosomal RNA
Source: RNAcentral